AGGGGUAACAGAGGAGCUUGCUCUUGCUGACGACCGGCGCACGGGUGCGUAACGCGUAUACAAUCUGCCUUGCACUAAGGGAUAGCCCAGAGAAAUUUGGAUUAAUAUCUUAUGGUUUAUAUAUAUGGCAUCAUAUUUAUAAUAAAGGUUACGGUGUAAGAUGAGUAUGCGUCCCAUUAGUUUGUUGGUAAGGUAACGGCUUACCAAGACUACGAUGGGUAGGGGCCCUGAGAGGGGGAUCCCCCACACUGGUACUGAGACACGGACCAGACUCCUACGGGAGGCAGCAGUGAGGAAUAUUGGACAAUGGAGGAGACUCUGAUCCAGCCAUGCCGCGUGCAGGAAGACGGUCCUAUGGAUUGUAAACUGCUUUUAUACAGGAAGAAUAAGGACUACGUGUAGUCUGGUGACGGUACUGUAAGAAUAAGGACCGGCUAACUCCGUGCCAGCAGCCGCGGUAAUACGGAGGGUCCGAGCGUUAUCCGGAAUUAUUGGGUUUAAAGGGUCCGUAGGCGGGCUGUUAAGUCAGGGGUGAAAGUUUGCAGCUCAACUGUAGAAUUGCCUUUGAUACUGACGGUCUUGAAUUAUUGUGAAGUGGUUAGAAUAUGUAGUGUAGCGGUGAAAUGCAUAGAUAUUACAUAGAAUACCGAUUGCGAAGGCAGAUCACUAACAAUUGAUUGACGCUGAUGGACGAAAGCGUGGGUAGCGAACAGGAUUAGAUACCCUGGUAGUCCACGCCGUAAACGAUGGAUACUAGCUGUUUGGAUUUCGAUCUGAGCGGCCAAGCGAAAGUGAUAAGUAUCCCACCUGGGGAGUACGUUCGCAAGAAUGAAACUCAAGGAAUUGACGGGGGCC
This 855-nucleotide ribosomal RNA is filed under the name Cellulophaga lytica. Its description in RNAcentral is "bacterial SSU rRNA". It matches the Rfam family "Bacterial small subunit ribosomal RNA", at positions 65 to 921 of the family's 1533-position model. The record is from RNAcentral. Lineage: Bacteria; Pseudomonadati; Bacteroidota; Flavobacteriia; Flavobacteriales; Flavobacteriaceae.